UGUUAUUUCAAACUUAAAGAGGGUAGAUUUUGGUUGGAUAUAAGGAAAAAGUCUUUUACAUUGAGGAUGGUGAGGCACUGGAACUGGUUGUUCAGAGGUAUGCUAAAUGCCCUGUCCCAGGAGACACUCGAGGAGCUUGAAGCAUUUACAUUUCUCUAAGAAAUCCUCCUCUUUUAAAUGUGACUGGAAUUAGCCAGCAAGCUCCGAAAUUCUGCAGACAUGUUGAAGAAGGUUUAGAAACCAGAAUCAUCUACUCCUUCAGAUAAGAUUUAUUUAUUUCAGAAAAACAUGGCAUGAGCAGCCUUCACUUGUUUCACAGCCCACUCCUCAGGUUACGCACACUGUGAAUUACGCUAUUCUGAAAAGCAUGUGGGCAAAAGAAGUCCCCGCAUGUCCGCACCUGGCAUCUGAGAUUGAGGCGUAAAGAAAAAGAGGAUAAAAUUACAAAGGACUUCUGGUCUGGGAAAUUUUGGUCAGGCUUCUGAAACCUGAAACUGUUUGAAGACCUCUUAAAAGACAUUUAUUUCACAUUAAAAAUGUAUUCCAUAGAGAAAAAAGUUUUAUUUUAGGAACAGCCUGUCCUUUACAUAACAUUAAGCAGUAAGCAGUUGCAUUAAGUGACUUUUUCUCUUAGACAAAAACGCUAGCAAGAAGUCAUGCGAGCUCCUGCUUCAGAAGCCUCCACUGCUGGUCUCCACAUGUGCCCAUGAUAUAUUUUCCUUUCUGCCUGAAGCAAGCAAGCUAAUCCACAGCACAAAAGGAGAUGCAGAGUGUAAAAUUCGGCGUACUAAAACAUAAACAGACAACUGUGGGCUGCCAAGCUGUUUACAAAGGAUGUAUCUUCCCCAGAAGAAAAAAUCCACCUCAUUGGUGUCAGGUGUCCAGACAGAUGACAUCAGUGUCUCUGAUGCACUUGCGCCAUUAUAAAAAGUGUCAUGGUUGGUCAGGCAGAACCUGAUCUUGGUGAAGCCAUACUGG
Gallus gallus (chicken) is the source of this 978-nucleotide long non-coding RNA. NCBI's taxonomy places the organism in Eukaryota, Metazoa, Chordata, Aves, Galliformes, Phasianidae. The record is from Ensembl.